This 497-nucleotide ribosomal RNA is filed under the name uncultured bacterium. RNAcentral describes it as "partial 16S ribosomal RNA". It matches the Rfam family "Bacterial small subunit ribosomal RNA", at positions 28 to 507 of the family's 1533-position model. The record is from RNAcentral.
GAUGAACGCUGGCGGCGUGCCUAAUACAUGCAAGUCGAGCGAACGGACGAGAAGCUUGCUUCUCUGAUGUUAGCGGCGGACGGGUGAGUAACACGUGGAUAACCUACCUAUAAGACUGGGAUAACUUCGGGAAACCGGAGCUAAUACCGGAUAAUAUUUUGAACCGCAUGGUUCAAAAGUGAAAGACGGUCUUGCUGUCACUUAUAGAUGGAUCCGCGCUGCAUUAGCUAGUUGUUAAGGUAACGGCUUACCAAGGCAACGAUGCAUAGACGACCUGAGAGGGUGAUCGGCCACACUGGAACUGAGACACGGUCCAGACUCCUACGGGAGGCCGCAGUAGGGAAUCUUCCGCAAUGGGCGAAAGCCUGACGGAGCAACGCCGCGUGAGUGAUGAAGGUCUUCGGAUCGUAAAACUCUGUUAUUAGGGAAGAACAUAUGUGUAAGUAACUGUGCACAUCUUGACGGUACCUAAUCAGAAAGCCACGGCUAACUACGUG